AGUUGCCGGGGAGGAGGGCCAGCCGCCGGCAAGGGGGCGCCGAGCUGCUGGUGCGGGCGGGAGUCGGGGCUGCUCCUCCGCGCGGGCCCGCCGGCCCCUCCCCACAAGCCAGCCCCACAGCUGCCGCCCGGGUAGCUUCCCGCAGACGCCGUAGGUAGCACGCGAUGGAACGCGGCGGAGGGGAGCGUGGACACGGCUGCCGGGCGCUGCGGCCAUCGGCGCCCUGGACGCCCGCUCCGGCCUUCGGGGCCGGAUAUCCCCACUCUCGCGGGCUCUUUCGCGUGGACCCCUCCUCCGGCCGACACUCACACUGCGGUGAACGCCAGUCAGCUGGCGUGAAAUAAGGUCGCUGGGAAGGCACCAAGUCACCAAGGUGGGGGAUGGCCAGGUCGUGGUAGUUGCGACAAAGAAAAAUAUAAGUCACAUUGCAUUUGUUUCUCGCCCACCCACCGCUCCCGGCGUCUCUUCCCGGGCUCCUUGCCAGCGUGCCGAGGCGCAGGCAGGGUGAUGGAGGCUCCCCGGCCGGGAGGAUCUGCCGGGGAGAGCGGCUUCCCUCAUCGAUUCGGGAGCGCCAGGCCCGGCGCGCCCGGGCUCCUGUGACCUGCGAGCCCGCGAAUUCCAGCGGCAUAAGAUAAGGAGCGGCGAGGGCCCAACAGGACUGAGGUCAGCCAGCUAUAAAUACGCCUCCAGCUCCACCGCGGGCUCACGCUGGUGACCUCGUGUACCCUCCGGAGGCUCAUUCCGUCCAUUUGGAAAAUGCAAAUAAUUGUCACCACCUCUUUUCUUCCAUUUCCCCUCAUUCAUGGUGGAAAAUGCUUUUAAAAGUAUUCGAUGACCCGUAUGUGAGGAAAGAGGAGAUAGGCCCCUUUUUCACCAAAUGUGACUUUAACCUCCUUAGUAAUCCAAGAAAUGUAUCAAGUUUAAGUCACUUAACAAAAGAUGUUCUUUUAAAGGUGCAUUUUAAAAAAUCACUUUUAAAACUGGGUAAACUGGGUAAAAAGAAAGGGGGAAGGAAAACAAUGUGCCAGGCAUUUGUAUUGACACACAUUCUUGCCUGAAGAGGUGUUUAGAUUCCAGGGUAUUCCCUUAUAUUCUGGUAUAAAUGUUUGAAUUCCCGUGUAUUUUGUUUCAAUUUUUUGGUUUAUCUUUUAUUCUGUCUCCCUUUUCUUCUUUUACCCGCCUUUGCCCUUAAUGCUGCAGAUAGCCUCUGUCAUUCUGAAUUAUUUUUCAAUUCUGUUUUCUUCCCUAAUCUUUUUUUCUGGGCUCUUCAGCUGUCUCAGGUUUGACAGUCAUGGGUUGUAGUAUCUUGCUAUGCAGGAAGAAGAGGAUACGUGAGAUUACUUGCAUCAACUAAAAUUGGUCACUUUUCUUUCUCAAGUUUCCUUCAUAAUACCCAGUUUUAGUUUUUUUGUUUUUUGGGGUUUUUUUGUUCUUUUUUUUUUGAGACGGAGUCUCGCUCUGUCGCCCAGGCUGAAGUGCAGUGGCGCCAUCUCGGCUCACUGCAAGCUCCGCCUCCUGGGUUCACGCCAUUCUCCUGCCUCAGCCUCCUGAGCAGCUGGGACUACAGGCGCCCGCCACCACGCCCGGCUAACUUUUUGUAUUUUUAGUACAGACGGGGUGUCACCGUGUUAAUAGGUGUUCUCGAUCUCCUGACCUCGUGAUCCUCCCGCCUCGGCCUCCCAAAGUGCUGGGAUUACAAGCGUGAGCCACUGCGCCCAGCCCCAGCUUUAGUUCUAAAGGAAAAGAUGGGCCUUUUGCUUAAGGAGAUUCACAUUGAUUGGUCAAAGCUCUCAUUGACGUAUGCUGAGCAAUGUGUCGGCAGAGAAAACCAUGGCAAGCGUGUUAUUAUGCUCUUUAUAGUCUAGUUGGAUUUUUAGACAUAUGAAUUGGUCUAUAAAAUAGACAACAAUCUCAGGUGGGAACCUUAGUACAUCAAGUUUCUGAAAUGUACAAAUGAGUAUUCCCUGGCUUGUGUUAUCUGCCACUGUAGAAAUGAGAGCAAAAUUGAAGCAUCAAAUUUUAAGUCGUGAUAUGUUUGCUUCUCUGCAAAAGACUCUCCUUUUCAAAUCUUCAGGAAUUUUUCGCUCUCCUUUGAUAAGGCCCAGCUAGUACCCAGGCUUCAAUCCUCAGCGCCCUGGCUACCAGCAGCUAGUGGGGCAUGCUGUUCUCCCUGGCUACUGGCAUGUUUAUGCAUGCCAGCCCGUUUCUCCGGUCUGUCUGCCCAGGGAGACAUCUGGACACGUGUGUUCUGGCCCCCAAACUCAAAAGCAACAUCUCGGGAUCCACAGUUAACAUUCCGUAAUGUGUUGGUAUUCCUUUAAGUGGGUUACUAGAAUAGGCUGGAAAUGGUCUUUUCUUCUGUCCAGGUAGGUCACAAGAGAGGUAGUUGUUACAUGCCCAAAGCAGCAUUCAUUAAUUACAUCGUGCAUUUAGUUAUUUGUUUGUGGUCUGAGCCCCUCUGCUCCACUAGAAUAUAAACUCCAUGAGCAAAAGACUUUGUCAGUCUCUCUUUUUUUAGAGACAGGUUCUCACUUUGUCACCCAGGCUGGAGUGCAGCGGCAUAGUCAUAGUUCACUGUAACCUGGAACUCCUGGGCUCACGUGAUCCUCCCCCCUCAGCCGCCCAAGUAGCUGGGACUACAGGCCAGCUUGACUUUGUCAAUCUAUUCUCAACUCUCUCCUCAGAGCCUAGUGCCUGGCAAGUGAAUAUUUGUUAAAUGAGAGAAGAGAAAUAAGCAUACAUAUCCUCUAGGCAUUUCUAAACCUUGUCACCAAGACCCUUUUAGUGUUAGAGGGUGGCAUGGCUAUCUUGGAAAGAGUGAAGGUUGGCUGGGAAAGCUGUGGAUCACAUCCUCUUCAGUGAAAUGGGACUUCUGCCUUCAGGGAUCCAAGGUGAAUAGAUUAAUCCAAGCUAAUCCAUUCAAAGUCAUUUUCAUGUUGUAAAGAUCUUAUAAGGCAAAAGGCAGCACGAAGUCUCUGGGUCUGAUGAUAAGUUAGAGGCCAGUAAGGAGGCACGAGUGAAGGAAUGCCAUUGGUAGGGUGACCCUUUAGGUUGGCUUCAAACCCAAUAUUAAAUGGGUAGGUGUUAGGGAGAAUAAACAGCUUCAUUUUUCAGCAUGGACACUACUACAUCUUUUUUUUUUUUUUUUUUUUUUUUGGUUAGUAGUACCCCAUCAUGGCUUAGAAGGACUAAACUGAAACAGAAACUGUGGUUAAGAAUAAGAUGGAUGUAUAUAAUUCAGUGCACAAAAUAGAGGAAGUUUAAAAACCUGAAUUCAUUUUCAUUGUGGUGGUACAGUGUUUUACUUCUUUUGUUUACUUCUAAACAACUUGCUCCUUCUCCCUUAGCUCCAUUUUAAUUUAUCUUUGCCUCAAAGCACUGGCUACUAUGAUUGAAAGAUAGAUGAUGGAGGAUAUUGCUGCUCUCACUUGGUCCUACCUAGUCCGUGGCCUCUGUAUUCCUCCUUUCCCUACUAUCCGUACACCCUUUACCAUAGAACCUGAUCUUUCCUAGGCCUUGAGGCAGGAAGAAUUAUCAGAGCUUUGGUCCCAAGCUCAAGACUCAGCCUCCCACUGCCUCGCCCCUUUCUAAGAACUGACAGCCCUUCUCUUGUGUCUGAAACCCUGACCUGUUAGCUUGCCAGGACCUGGAAUUUCUCUGCUUGUUGUUUGGACUUAGCUGCAUCCCUGCACCCAGACUGCUGGGCAGUUGUAGGUAUUGUUGGUGGCAUCACUUAAUUGCCUCCAGCUCUUUGUUUCUAGGCUCCCUGUAUCUGUAUUCUAUCUAUCUGUUGGGCCUCCCUUCCCCCAUUACCUCAGGCUGGAUGUCCCCAUCCCCACUGCGCUCCUGGACUACCACCUGUUGUUUGCUCACUACUCUCUGGCUAUCAGGCACUGCCUAGAGGACUAUGGUUCCUCCCACCGAGCACCGGGAGCUGGGGCCUCCCUACCCCAACUCCCACGCAGCCCACAGUAGAUCUUGGCCUUCCCUGUCCUGCUGCAGCUCACUGCCCUGCUUUUCCCUAUCCUCACAGCACCUGGUUUAUUGCACUUGGAUUAUUUUUUAACCAGAUGAAAACUAUAUAUAAUAUAUAUGCUCUGGACAUACACUAAGUACAUAUUAAAGGUGUAUUAUAUGUAAUUUUGGCUGGGCGUGGUGGCUUAUGCUAGUAAUCCCAAGCACUUUGGGAGGCCAAGGUGGGUGGAUCAUUUGAGGUCAGGAGUUCAAGACCAGCCUGGCCAACAUGGUGAAACCCUGUGUCUACUAAAAAUACAAAAAUUAGCUGGAUGUGGCAGCAGGCACCUGUAGUCCCAGCUACUUGGGAGGCUGAGGCAGGAGAAUCGCUUGUCGCAGUGAGCCCAGAUCUCGCCAUUGCACUCCAGCCCGGGCAACAGAGCGACACUCUGUUUCAAAAAAAAAAAAGCUAUAUAUAUAUUUUUUUCUGGCUAAAAAUUAAUCCAAGUGUAAUAGGGGUGUGUGUGUAUAUAAUCUAUUGAAUAUAAUUCAAAUAGAUUUCUAGUCUGAACUUUGUGUGUGUGUGUAGGUGUUUGUGUACAUAUGUAAGUAUAUGCAUAUAUGUAUAUAUGUACACACAAAUAUGCAUAUGUGUGCACACAUAUGUGCGCAUAUGCGUAUGUGUGCACACAUAUGUGCGCAUAUGCGUAUGUGUGCACACAUAUGUGCGCAUAUGCGUAUGUGCGCACACGUGCGCAUGUGUAUGCGUGCAUAUGUGUGCAUAUGUAAGUAUGCAUGUACACAUAUGUACAUAUAUGUACGUAUGCAUGUACAUAUGUUUGUGUGUAUACACACAAAAAACCCAUACAUACAUUCAAAAAUGAAAAGACCCAUGUCUGAUUCUUCUUAGUAUCCCUAAACACUGAUUCUACUCAAGAAUUCCUUUGGAGCUAGUAGUCCAGAAAUCCAGCAUGUGGAGCUGAAUAUGAUUACCUUGGGAAUGACUAGUAAAAGGAAGGCAAGGUGCGAUGAUAAAAGAUUCAAGCUGAGAUAACUGGGGAGAUAAAAUCUGGAUCAGGAGUGCAGAUUCAUGAACACCAUACUGUGCCUACUGUCCAUGGCUUACAUGGUAAUUGGGAUGUAUUCCUAGAUGUGGUGUGGUGUCACCAGUGUGACCAGGCAUACUAGUUUACCCAUCGGAUAUGUUGAAAGUACCUGACCCUGUGCUGGACUCAAAAGUUCAGAGAAUGGGAACUGUCUCAUUCUCACUCCAUUGUAUCCAGUGUGCUGCUUGGCACACCAGUAGGUAGUCAGUAAGUAUUUAUUAAAUGAAUGACAUACUUAAUUUUGUUCUCUACUGGUAGUUUGCCCUGGCGCAUUUCUUUUUAUUUCUAUUAGCCAAGGCAGGGUUAGGUGUUUUGUUUUGUUUUGUUUUUCCAUAUUUUUGAGGAUUAAUGAUAAAGCACUUAUCUUGUUGGAAUGAGAGUCUACUAACAAAUCCUGUACAUCAUAAUAACAGAACUAUCAUCUAACAACUUGUUCUCAAUAAAUAAACUUUAAAACAACUUCCUUUAUUAUUUCAAAGGCAUACAUAGUCAUAUAUAUAACCAGUAACCAAUACUUGUCAGUGUUUAUUUUAAAAUGCAGAUUAGUUUCCAUUUAGUUUGCUACCUACCUUAAAGCCCCUCUUCCUCCGAUCCUGAAUGCUGCUAGCUCUCCUCCUAAUUGGUCAUUCCCUCUUUCAACUAAUGUUGCCCAGUUGUUUAGAUUUCUAUUGUGAAACACCAGUCCCAUUAAAUCUGAAAACACUGCUAUAGAGUAACAUUUCGUUAGACUGGUCUCACUACUUUCUGAAGAAUGGACCAUAUUCAUUCUCCAUUUAAUGCCAUUCUCCUCCCUAUACUGCCUGAGUACCACCUCUUCCAAGAAGUCAUCUUUGACUACUCCAUCCUCAUCUCCUUAGGCUUUUCUCUCAAUGGUCUACAUCACUGACUUUCCACAUAGCUUAGCUGUUCUUAUGUCUUUCUCACAAAUAAGUUUUCAUACCUUUGUUCUUCAACAUAAAUAGGGGCCUCUCAGCCUGAGGGAGACAGUUUAGGGAGUACCAAAAUACACGUAGUAUCAAAAAAGCAGUCCCAGGCCACUGGAGCUUACCAGUUAUUGAAUCCUUGCUUCUGCGAAUCCAUUGUUUUGAAGGUUGGUGGGUAGUUGCAAACUCCUUGAUGCAUCUGCACGUGAUCCUGUCGAACACCAGAAAAUUCUACUCCAGUGGCAAUGGGGAGGCUGGUCCCUGGCUUGCUUAAAGAACCCGCUUUUUUAUUGUGUAACAUUAUAUACCUUUCAGGACAUUUGACAAGAUAUAUUUAAGCAUUUGUUAAUUUUGUAUUAUUAAAUAUGUGUGUUUAUAAAGAAAUAGAUUAUCCUGAAAUAAAGAGAAAACGUUGGCAGUGUUCUGUGGUGGCCUAAUGGAUGGUUAUUAUUUUCUUCCAUAAGCUUUAUCUCCCCCACAAUGGACAAUGUUAUACGUUACUUUUUUUUUUUUUUUUUUUUUUUUGAGAGUCUGCUCUGUCGCCCAGGCUGGAGUGCAAUGAUAUGAUCUUGGCUCACUGCAACCUCUGCCUCCCGAGUUCAAGUGAUUCUCCUGCCUCAGCCUCCUGAGUAGCUGGGACUACAGGUGUGCGCCACCACACCCAGCUAAUUUUUGUAUUUUUAGUAGAGACGGGGUUUCACCAUGUUGGCCAGGCUGAUCUUGAACUCCUGACCUCAUGAUCCGCCCGCCUUGGCCUCUCAAAGUGCUGAGAUUACAGGCGUGAGCCACUGUACCCGGCCCAAUGUUACUUUUAUAAUCAGAAAAGUAGAUAUUUUCGACUGUGGGUUUCAGCACCAAAAAAAAAAAAGAGUAGAUAUUAUUUAAAAGAACUGGUUGAUUGAUAGAGAGAAAAAUGAAAGUGGCAAAUUGUAUAUUUGUCAGAAUGAAGUCAGUUAGAAUCCCAUAUAAGAUAUGUAAUUAAAGUUUUUAUUUAUUUGAUUGACGUGAAUAUUUUUCUUGGUAAAAAGAGUUAUUCUAGGCCAGGCACAGUGGCUCACCCCUGUAAUCCUAGCACUUUGGGAGGCCAAGGCAGGCAGAUCGCUUGAGUCCAGGAGUUCCAGACCAGCCGGGGCAACAUGGCAAAACCCCAUCUCUAUAAAAAUUACAAAAAUUAGCCAGGCAUGGUAGCACUUGCCUGUCAUCCCAGCUACUCGGGAGGCUGAGGCAAGAGGACCCCUUAAGCCCAGAAGGCAGAGGUUGCAGUGAGCUGUGAUCAUGCCACUGCACUCCAACCUGGGCAACAGAGGGAGACCAUGUCUCAGAAAAAAUAAAUAAAGAGUUGUUCUGUUGUUACACUUGCAAUAACACAUCAUACUCAUGAGAUUUUAACUAUGUAUACCAUAUGUCAUCAAAACUAGGGUACUGUUUCGUUGUGGGUUUUUUCCACCCAAAGAACAGCAUGGAUACUGUUGAUUAUAAGAUCCAUCAUUAUUUUAUGUACAACUAAGGAAGAAAAACCUUGCCAGUUAAACCCUGACACGUUAAUUAAGAUAUCGCAAUUCCAGAAAGUUUCAAAUGUCAAAAAAAAUGUGCAUCUGAGAAUUAAUGAAAUAUGGUGUAUUUUAAUGCAUCUAGAAGGUGAAGCAAUGCCAUACAGGCCAGCAUUUGAAAUGUUAAAUUUCUGAGUUUUUGAUGUAUAAUCUUGUUAUGCCUGAUUCCUGAAUAGCCACACUGUGGAUGAUACCACAAAAGCAGAGGCAGUGCAGUUCAACUGCAUGUAAACAUGUAAAACAAACAAAAGUGAAUAACAUGAUUCAGUCACAUAACGUUUGGAAAAAAUACCAGCAUCAAGUCACGUGCUGGAUUAUAUUACAAAUCAAAAAUUAACUUUUUUUUUUUUUUUGAGAUGGAGUUUCACUCUUGUUGCCCAGGCUGGAGUGCAAUAGCACAAUAAAAAUUAACUUUUUGACAGUUGCUUAUACUGAAAAUGUGUGAUGACAAGACGAAUCAAAUUUUAGAUGUUAACACAUAAGUUAUCUUUGGAGAAGUCAAACUAAACAUUCAGAAAAAUCUCAGCAGUGCAAUAGAAUGACUUUACAUCUGUCCCGGAAACUGAACAAUAGUGCUUGUUGCUUAUGAGGCCAUCAGGAAAAGCCAGCUGUGGAUUUCUUUCUAGUACAAUUAAUUGCUUCCGCUGUAUAUAAAAUUGAAAGAAUUGGGUGCUUUAGUGCGGAAAAAGGAUAUCCUGCUACACUGCUCCUAUUUCCUCACAAAGGCUAUUACUGAGCCUUUCACCAUUAAUUCGCAUGCAUUGGAUUAUCCUGUGAUGAAAGGCCAAAAGGCUUUUCAUUUUUAUAGUCUCUUAUCCUAUUUAUUUGGCACCUCUCUGGAGAUACCUGCUCUUCUCCCAAGACCAGCUAAUUGCUAGGAUGUCAGAAGGUGGCUAAUGACUGACUUCCUUUUCAGAGACUGUGAGCCCAUCUCUUUGCUGCUUCUUGGGGUGGCUUUUCUUAUUGCUGAGAAAUAUUCUGCGUUCUGUCAUUAUUUGAGGUAAAAAAUGCUAUCUUUUUUUUUUUUUUUUUUUUUUUUUUUUUUUUUUUUUUUUAAAGACAGAGUCUUGCUGUCUGUCACCCAGGCUGGAGUGCAGUGGUGUGAUCACAGCUCACUGCAGCCUCAACCUCCUGGGCUCAAGCAAUCCUCCCACCUCAGUCUCCCAGGUAGCUGGGACUACAGGUGCAUACUGCCACAUUCAGCUGAUUUUUUUGUAUUUUUGUAGAGACAGGGCCUCCCUGUAUUGCCCAGUCUGAUCUCGAAUCCUGGGUUUAAGUGAUCCUCCCACCUCAGCCUCCCAAAAUGCUGGGAUUACAGGCGUGAGCCACCGUGCUAGGCUCAAGACUUUGUUCUUAAGGCUGAGCUGAGCAGGUCAGAAUCUACACCAGCACUGUCUAAUAGAACUUUCAGUGAAAAUGAAAAUGUCCUGUAUCUUCCCUGUUCCAACACAGUAGCCCCUAAUCUCAUGUGGUUAUUGAGCAUUUGAUAUGGCUAAACAGAGAAACUGAAUUUUGAUUUUUAUUUAUUUUUAACUAAUUUAGAAUUUACACAGUCACACAUGCCAAGCAGCUAUUGUAUGUACUAGCCAGUGCAGGUCUACAUGAAGGAUAUAUAAAAAAAUCACUUGAUGGUCUCAGUGCACACAAUGGGCAGGGAUUGAGGGGUUGGCAUUGAAAAUGCAGCAUCUCAGCUAAGUGCAGUGGCUCACGCCUGUAAUCCCAACGCUUUGGGAGGCCAAGGUGGGCAGAUCACCUGAGGUCAGGAGUUCAAGACCAACCUGGCCGACAUGGUGAAACCCCGUCUCUACUAAAAAUAUAAAAAUUGGCUGGGCAUGGUGACGCACGCCUGUAAUCCCAGCUACUUGAGAGGCUGAGGCAAGAGAAUCUCUUGAACCCAGGAGGCAGAGGUUGCAGUGAGCCAAGAUCGCGCCACUGCACUCCAGCCUGGGCAACAGAGUGAGAUUCUGUCUCAAAAAAAAAAAAAGGAACAAAGAAAAUGAAGCAUCUAAACAACCAAAAGAGUAGAAUUGGAUUGUUUGUAACACAAAGGAUAAAUGCUUGUGGGGUGGAUAUCCCAGCUUCCGUGAUGUGAUUAUUAUAACUGCAUGCCUGUAUCAAAAUAUGUACCCCAUUUAAAAUAUAUAUAUAUAUAUAUCCACAAAAAUUAAAACUAAAAAAAAUGCCACCUUAAAAAAGAAAAUGGGCUGGGCAUGGUGGCUCACACCUGUAAUCCCAGCAUUUUGGGAAGCUAAGGCAGGCGGAUUGCUUGAGCCAGGAGUUUGAGACCAGCCUAGGUGACAUAGGGAGACCCCUUCUUUACAAAAAAUACCAAAAAUUAGCUGGGCAUGGUGGCACACACCUGUAGUCCCAGCUAUUCAGGAGGCUAAGGAGGGAGGAUUGCUUGAGCCCAGGAGUUUGAGACAAGCCUGCGCAACAUAGGCGGACCCCUUCUCUACAAAAAAUACUAAAAAUUAGCCAGGCAUGGUGGCACACACCUGUAGUCCCAACUACUGAGGAGGCUGAGGUGGGAGGAUCGCUGGAGCCAGAGAGGUGGAGGCUGCAGUGAGCCAUGUUGGCACCACUGCACUCCAGUCUGGAUGAUGGAGUGAGAAAAAAAAAAAAGAAGAACAGGUUCUGAAACCAUUGGCUGAAUUGAUGCCUUUGUUCUCGCUGUUAAAAAUAAAUGGUAGAAAGCCCACACAUUCAGGGAUCUUUUCUGUAGUUUGCUACUAGAGAAGUUUCUCUAAACAUGCAGAGCACCAGAAAUCGGGGUUGCUAUUCAAUGGAUAUAAAGUUGCCGUUUAUAUUAAGUGUUCUUACUACGAUUUUUUUGUUUGUUUUUUGAGAUGGAGUCUCACUGUCACCCAGGCUGGAGUGCAGUGUCCCGACCUUGGCUCACUGCAACCUCUGUCUCCAGGGUUCAAGCGAUUCUCCUGCCUCAGCCUCCCGAGUAGCAAGGAUUAUAGGCACACACCACCACGCCCAGCUAAUUUUGUAUUUUUAGUAGAGAUGGGGUUUCGCCAUGUUGGCCAGGCUGGUCUCGACUCCUGAUCUCAGGUGAUCCACCUGUCUCAGCCUCCCAAAGUACUGAGAUUACAGACGUGAGCCACUGCAUCCGGCCGAUUCUUUUAAAAAAACAAAUUUUUUGUCUGGGCAUGGUGCCUCACGCCUGUAAUCCCAGCACUUUGGGAGGCCGAGGCAGGUGGAUCACGAGGUCAGGAGAUCGAGACCAUCCUGGCCAACAUGGUGCAACCCCCUCUCUACUAAAAAUAUAAAAAUUAGCUGGGCAUGGUGGCAUGCACCUGCAGUCCCAGCUACUCGGGAGGCAGGAGAAUUGCUUGAACCUGGGAGGCAGAGGUUGCAGUGAGCCAAGACUGCACCACUGCACUCCAGCCUGGGCGACAGAGCGAGACUCCCUCUCAAAAAAAAACAAAAACAAAAACAAAAAAAACAAUUUUUUUAAUGGUAGAAACUAGCCAAAAUGCUAAGUAGCGGUUGUCUCCCAGUAGUAGGACUAUGGUCACUUUUUUUUCUUCUUUCUGCCUAUGUGUGUUUUUCAUAUUUUAUUUAAUAAGCACAUAUUCCUUUCUUAAUUUGUCAACAUUAAAGAGAGCUAAACCCAUUCAUUUCUUUAUUACCCAAUUUCAAAUUAAAGUGGUUUCAACCAACUCUUUCUCUAAGAGAGAGGGUAGUCAUUUUGAAAUACUGUUUCUUCAAAAAUUACUUCAGGCAGCAAUUUUAGUUGAGAGAUCUGUAUUCCCUAUCCUAGCGUGAAUAGCAUCAGAGACCUGUGUUUGGGAUGCCCUAGAACCCUGCUGAGAAGAAUCAGAGAACAUCCUUCUGGAAGACAUGGCUGCAGACCUGGAGCCAUCCUCUCACUUAGGCAUUCCCUGGGUGUUGUGCCAGGAUCCAAGCAUUUCUGGACUACAUUCCGGAGUCUCAGAGUCAAGGCCCAACAGUUUAAGGAGGCUCGUGGACUGACAAGGGCUCUGGUUUUAACACUGAGAAGAGAACCAUAAAAAGAAGUCCUCAUUUCCUAAAAGUUCACACAUGAUCGUACAGGUUUAAUUGGGAACAGCGAGCUGUUUACAGCAAAGUAUAAACUGUAUAAAGCAGACCUCAGCGGACACUCCCAGAGGAUGUCCUGUGAACUCUCACUUCCCCAAGUCCAGAUUCAGCAGAGCUGGCUUGGUGAGGUAGGGCGCUGCAAUGCCAGCCAGAGGAGUAGCCCAGAAACCCCUUUCCAGAACUUUCUUUGACCAAAAGAGAUGGCCAAAGAGUUUUUUCUUCCUUGAAACUUGAGGCCAAUCCCACUAUUUUCUUAACUGCUUCUGCAUAUCCACUAAAGAGACUCUUGAGAAACAGGCUUAGCCACAUGAUGUGGUGGGAAGAACACGAACUUUGCAAUCAGAAUCCUGGCUGUACUUCCCAGUUUUUUACCUUGGGCAGAGUUUGUCAGCCUCUUAGACUCCCAGUUUCUUCAUCUAUAAAAUGGGAAUAAAUAAUACCAAUCUCAUGGGACAGAUGUCAGAAUUAACUGAGAUAUAUGCAAAGUGAUUGCCAUAGAGUCAGCACUCAAUGAAUUUUAGUUACUUUCUUUUUCCUUCUAGAAAGUGAUUGGUCCAUUAGUGUUUGUGUUGAAGGGGAGAGAAAACAAACUGUAAAACUCUAAAUGAGCCUUACUUCAAAUACAGCCCAAUGCAGUUCAGUAAUUAGUAUAUGAGUUCUGCUUCAGCUUGGGCUGGGCUCCAGUUCUUCAUUCCAGCCUUAGCUCUGGAAUUUCCUUCUCUAGAAAACCUUGGCGGCCCACUCCCAGGCCGGGUUAGCGGCCUGCUGAGCUGUCCUGUAGCACUUAUCUGGCCUUCGGCUUCUCAAACCGAGGCACCUAACACUGAAUGUGGAGUACAAAAGGUUAUAGAGCAGGCCGGGCGAGGUGGCUCACGCCUGUAAUCCCAGCACUUUGGGAGGCCAAGGCGGGCG
Molecule: long non-coding RNA, 12513 nt
Filed under: Homo sapiens (human)
Lineage: Eukaryota; Metazoa; Chordata; Mammalia; Primates; Hominidae
Description: non-protein coding lnc-MMRN2-2:6
Rfam family: Small nucleolar RNA U3 (bases 10225-10335)
Source: RNAcentral